CAAAUUUUAGGGUUAGUCUUUAAGUCUUUGUACAAAAGUAUUGAGAAACAUGUUUUUAUCACCUACUUCAUGUGUGAUCCACACUAAACCAAAGCCAUAA
Haliotis rubra (blacklip abalone) is the source of this 100-nucleotide long non-coding RNA. RefSeq lists it as uncharacterized. NCBI's taxonomy places the organism in Eukaryota, Metazoa, Mollusca, Gastropoda, Lepetellida, Haliotidae. The record is from RefSeq and is a predicted model, not a curated record. The transcript has 3 exons.